GCCACGGCAACGGGAGAGCCAGCGGCGAGGGGAAACGGGUUCCUCUUGUUCCUCAAUGAUUUUGUUCUGCCUUGGACGCGCAAGAGUAAAGUGACGCCUUAUCAGGAGGUCCUGGAGACCUCAGGUGGGUGUAUCUUCUUGAUCCACAUAUUAUUUCUUAUCUCCAACAGCAAACAACAGCUCCACCGGAUGAGACUGAUCUCAGGCAGCGCGGACGGACGGCGGCGAAGUAAUGAGCGAGCGGGGAAAGACCGAGUCCACGUUAGCGUCAAUCUCCUGGAAAUUGUAGCCGGCUCCCUCCAUCAU
Molecule: long non-coding RNA, 306 nt
Filed under: Hordeum vulgare
Lineage: Eukaryota; Viridiplantae; Streptophyta; Magnoliopsida; Poales; Poaceae
Description: long non-coding RNA (HVUL_LNC005078)
Source: RNAcentral